This 67-nucleotide transfer RNA is filed under the name Rochia nilotica. Its description in RNAcentral is "tRNA-His". The record is from RNAcentral. Lineage: Eukaryota; Metazoa; Mollusca; Gastropoda; Trochida; Tegulidae.
AUCAAGUUAGUUUAGAUAAAACUUCAGGAUGUGGGCUUGAUAAAAUAGAUUGACUCUAUACUUGAUA